AGAGUAGCAAGUCUGGUAGUAAGCCCCACGUCUGCAGCACGUCAUUGGUUUCUUUGGUAGCCAAUUACAAGUGAGGCUGCAGCAAGUUCGGUUGUAAUCACUACGUCUGCAGAGAGUUAGUUUCUCUUUAGUUGUUGGUGUGGAGCGGACCUUGUGGUUGUGUACGUGUGCGUAAAUGAUAAACCAACCACACAAAGAAGACAAACUCUUCUACCGAUGCCCCCUGGCGGUCACAACAUAUUAAAACCAGCCGAAAUAGCUCUCCCCACAACAAACGGUGCCGAAUCCCGGGACACUGUGUGACCACUGUGGAUUAAGUAGAAAUGUAUUCAGAGCAGAGUCGCCCUCCACACGAAGCAGAGACAGCGUGGAUGCAGGACUACGUUCCCUCCUUUCCUGCACAGCAGUGGGCAGACAAUGCAUCUGCUGAGCAUCAGUGCCUGCAUGCCCAUGCACACAUGGAGAGACCAGUAGAGAGAAUUGCCAGGAUGACACCUCUCACCCCUCCGUGGCCAGUUGGGGACUGGAGUCUGAGACAGGGAGACAGAGAAGGACGGGAAAUGGGAGAGUUCACAAGUCCUGAGGAUGUGGAAGACAUCCAUCACCAGAUUGGAAUGUAUGAUAUCGGGUCUUAUGCUGAUUGGAUCUGGCAUUUUCCUGAAUUAUCGCAAAAAAUUGGAUUACGUUGGCAGCACUAUUGGAAGCCGCAGUUAACGAAGAAAGGAGCCAAACUCUCUGAACUCUCUCAGAUGGAUUCCACCGUGGAACUUUAAGAGGAGGAUAGUUUGUCUCACAGGAUAUGGCCACACUAUUGGAUUACUUAUCGAACUGACCAGGAACAGUAGGGCUGGCAGCCAUGUUAUGGCUAGCCCGUCUCAAAACACCUUCUCUAUUCUCAUUCGGCCCCCCCCGAAUGAGCAGCCUGUGGUCUGUUUUCUUCUCUCCAAACUCUCCAAGGACGGAAUGUUGAUAAGACGCUCUGACCUUUCCCUCACUUUUCAUGUACACCUGGUCCCGGCUCUGCCAACGAACUCUCGAGGUCAUCUCUAUGUGAGAGUCAGCAGCAGAGUCUGAGUAAACAGGCUUAUCUCAACGAACACUUUUCACUCCCCCUACAUCACUACAUAUCCUAUAUUGUCACUGUCUCUUCUGGCUCCAACCCUCCUCCCUCCCAGCGGUUGGUCAGUAGGAGGCGCGCCAUAAGGGCAGCGCCACACUGUGGCUGACCUGCGAACUACCCAUCCUAAAGACCCAUCCCCUGUGCUAACGUGCUGUUGUAUUGAAUUGAAUGUUGUGUUUGUGGGUUUCUGUCGCAAUGUUGCUGAAGAGUUUUUUUUCAUGAUCCCAAACUUUGCCCCUCUCUACAAGGGCCUAGUUUGGUUUUUGCCUUUUUUUAUCUCUUCUUCCUCCCCAUCGUUUGUUAUCCCAUUUCUCAUCUGAAUAAGGGGCGCCGCCCUGGUGGCGAACCACAGUUCUCCCGCUCCUGUGCUCCCAUGUUUAUGAUUGUCUUUUCAUGUUUUCCUG
This is a long non-coding RNA of Gouania willdenowi (blunt-snouted clingfish), 1524 nucleotides long. The record is from Ensembl. Lineage: Eukaryota; Metazoa; Chordata; Actinopteri; Blenniiformes; Gobiesocidae.